GGUUUUGUAGUGUAGCGGUUAUCACUCCGGAUUCUGAUAUUGUCAUCAGUGUCUUCCGGCAACCCCGGUUCGAUUCCGGGCAAGACCU
Pyrenochaeta sp. DS3sAY3a is the source of this 88-nucleotide transfer RNA. It matches the Rfam family "tRNA". From Rfam's summary of the family: Transfer RNA (tRNA) molecules are approximately 80 nucleotides in length. Their secondary structure includes four short double-helical elements and three loops (D, anti-codon, and T loops). Further hydrogen bonds mediate the characteristic L-shaped molecular structure. tRNAs have two regions of fundamental functional importance: the anti-codon, which is responsible for specific mRNA codon recognition, and the 3' end, to which the tRNAs corresponding amino acid is attached (by aminoacyl-tRNA synthetases). tRNAs cope with the degeneracy of the genetic code in two manners: having more than one tRNA (with a specific anti-codon) for a particular amino acid; and 'wobble' base-pairing, i.e. permitting non-standard base-pairing at the 3rd anti-codon position. The record is from Rfam. Lineage: Eukaryota; Fungi; Ascomycota; Dothideomycetes; Pleosporales; Cucurbitariaceae.